RNAcentral lists this unclassified non-coding RNA (638 nucleotides) under Hevea brasiliensis (rubber tree). Lineage: Eukaryota; Viridiplantae; Streptophyta; Magnoliopsida; Malpighiales; Euphorbiaceae. The record is from RNAcentral.
AAAAAAAAAACUACAAAAAAGUAGCAGGAAACAAAAUUGGAAAUAGUACAGUUGAUUCUUCCAGAGGUACUAUCGUGCUGAGUUGAUAACAUUGUGUACUUUUUAUCUAUAUUUGUAUCUAAAAGCAUUUCGCAUUUUUGAGUAUAAUUCAUCUAAAACACAUGUAUGUUCUCUUCGUUUAUGUUCUUCUUGCUUUCUCCCGCUAGCUUAUUAUUUGUCCCUCGUAGCUGUAAAGACGAAAACAUUUAACUAUAGUUCAUUAUCUGGUUCUGUACCUUCAUUUUCAACUUCAUGAGAAGAGGCUGUACUGUUGUUGUGUAUCCUCAAGUAGUGAGGAUGAGGGUGCAUCUGAUGGUAUCUCUACAUUUUGAGACUGCAUUGGAGAUGCUAACGUAUCAAAUGGUGCAUCGUCAGCAACCAACUCGAGCUUUGACACUUCAGUACCAUCAGAUGGUGCAUCGGUAGUAGCCAACUCCAAGUUUGACCCUUCAGUCGUAUCAGACGGUGCGUCCUCAGCAGCCAACUCCAAUUUUGACCCUUCAGUAGUAUCAGACAGUGCGUCCUCAGCAGCCAACUCUGGUUUUAACACUUCAGUAGUAUCAGAUGGUGCGUUGUCAGCAGCCAACUCCACUUGUGAU